AGAGUUUGAUCCUGGCUCAGGACGAACGCUGGCGGCGUGCCUAACACAUGCAAGUCGAGCGGGAACCUCAGGAGGGGUAACCCUUCUGAGGGGAGAGCGGCGAACGGGUGAGUAACACGUGGGUAACCCACCCUUGAGACCGGGAUACCCUCUCGAAAGGGAGGCUAAUACUGGACACGUUCCCUGGGACGCAAGAUCUGGGGAGGAAAGGUGGCGAAAGCUGCCGCUCUUGGAGGGGCUCGCGGCCUAUCAGCUAGUUGGUGAGGUAACGGCUCACCAAGGCUAUGACGGGUAGCUGGUCUGAGAGGACGACCAGCCACACGGGAACUGAGACACGGUCCCGACUCCUACGGGAGGCAGCAGUGGGGAAUUUUCCGCAAUGGGCGAAAGCCUGACGGAGUGACGCCGCGUGGGGGACGAAGGCCUUCGGGUCGUAAACCCCUGUCAGAGGGAAAGAAGGGUGUCGGCGUGAAUAGCGCCGGCAUCUGACGGUACCUUCAGAGGAAGCCCCGGCCAACUCUGUGCCAGCAGCCGCGGUAAU
This 541-nucleotide ribosomal RNA is filed under the name uncultured soil bacterium. RNAcentral describes it as "bacterial SSU rRNA". It matches the Rfam family "Bacterial small subunit ribosomal RNA", at positions 8 to 524 of the family's 1533-position model. The record is from RNAcentral.